GACGAACGCUGGCGGCGUGCUUAACACAUGCAAGUCGAACGGAAAGGCCCUGCUUUUGUGGGGUGCUCGAGGGGCGAACGGGUGAGUAACACGUGAGUAACCUGCCCUUGACUUUGGGAUAACGUCAGGAAACUGGGGCUAAUACCGGAUAGGAGCUCCUGCUGCAGGGUGGGGGUUGGAAAGUUUCGGCGGUUGGGGAUGGACUCGCGGCUUAUCAGCUUGUUGGGGGGGUAGUGGCUUACCAAGGCUUUGACGGGUAGCCGGCCUGGGAGGGUGACCGGCCACAUUGGGACUGCGAUACGGCCCAGACUCCUACGGGAGGCAGCAGUGGGGAAUAUUGCACAAUGGGCGGAAGCCUGAUGCAGCAACGCCGCGUGCGGGAUGACGGCCUUCGGGUUGUAAACCGCUUUCGCCUGUGACGAAGCGUGAGUGACGGUAAUGGGUAAAGAAGCACCGGCUAACUACGUG
This 468-nucleotide ribosomal RNA is filed under the name uncultured bacterium. Its description in RNAcentral is "partial 16S ribosomal RNA". It matches the Rfam family "Bacterial small subunit ribosomal RNA", at positions 28 to 507 of the family's 1533-position model. The record is from RNAcentral.